AGUGAACGCUGGCGGUAGACCUAACACAUGCAAGUCGAACGGCAGCACAGUAAGAGCUUGCUCUUGCGGGUGGCGAGUGGCGGACGGGUGAGGAAUACAUCGGAAUCUACUUUUUCGUGGGGGAUAACGUAGGGAAACUUACGCUAAUACCGCAUACGACCUACGGGUGAAAGCAGGGGACCUUCGGACCUUGCGCGAUUGAAUGAGCCGAUGUCGGAUUAGCUAGUUGGCGGGGUAAAGGCCCACCAAGGCGACGAUCCGUAGCUGGUCUGAGAGGAUGAUCAGCCACACUGGAACUGAGACACGGUCCAGACUCCUACGGGAGGCAGCAGUGGGGAAUAUUGGACAAUGGGCGCAAGCCUGAUCCAGCCAUACCGCGUGGGUGAAGAAGGCCUUCGGGUUGUAAAGCCCUUUUGUUGGGAAAGAAAAGCAGCAGGUUAAUACCCCGCUGUUCUGACGGUACCCAAAGAAUAAGCACCGGCUAACUUCGUG
RNAcentral lists this ribosomal RNA (492 nucleotides) under uncultured bacterium. Its description in RNAcentral is "partial 16S ribosomal RNA". It matches the Rfam family "Bacterial small subunit ribosomal RNA", at positions 29 to 507 of the family's 1533-position model. The record is from RNAcentral.